GUAGUUAGCCGGGGCUUUCUUACAGGGUACCGUCACUUCUUCGUCCCCUGCGACAGAGGUUUACAAUCCGAAAACCUUCUUCCCUCACGCGGCGUUGCUGGGUCAGGCUUGCGCCCAUUGCCCAAUAUUCCCCACUGCUGCCUCCCGUAGGAGUCUGGACCGUGUCUCAGUUCCAGUGUGGCCGAUCAGCCUCUCAGCUCGGCUACCCAUCGUCGGCUUGGUGGGCUGUUAUCUCACCAACUACCUAAUGGGACGCGAACCCCUCUAAAAGCGAUAAAUCUUUGACCUCUUCCCGAUGCCGGGUUGUGGUCUUAUGCGGUAUUAGCAGUUGUUUCCACCUGUUAUUCCCCACUCUUAGGCAGGUUGUUCACGCGUUACUCACCCGUGCGCCACUAGAAUUAUCAAUUCCAUCCGAAAACUUCCUUAAUAAUCCCCGUUCGACUUGCAUGUGUUAGGCACGCCGCCAGCGUUCGUCCUGAGCCAGGAUCAAACUCUGA
RNAcentral lists this ribosomal RNA (497 nucleotides) under uncultured bacterium. Its description in RNAcentral is "partial 16S ribosomal RNA". The record is from RNAcentral.